This 442-nucleotide ribosomal RNA is filed under the name uncultured bacterium. RNAcentral's name for it is "partial 16S ribosomal RNA". It matches the Rfam family "Bacterial small subunit ribosomal RNA", at positions 338 to 795 of the family's 1533-position model. The record is from RNAcentral.
CCUACGGGAGGCAGCAGUGGGGAAUAUUGGGCUAUGGGCGAAAGCCUGACCCAGCAACGCCGCGUGAAGGAAGAAGGCUCUCGGGUUGUAAACUUCCUUUGAUAGGGAAGAGCAGAAGACGGUACCUGUCGAAUAAUCUACGGCGAACUACGUGUCAGCAGCCGCGGUAAUACGUAGGUGGCAAGCGUUGUCCGGAUUUACUGGGUGUAAAGGGCGUGUAGCCGGGCUGACAAGUCAGAUGUGAAAGCCGGGGGCUCAACCACCGAAGUGCAUUUGAAACUGGUGGUCUUGAGUAUCGGAGAGGCAGGCGGAAUUCCUGGUGUAGCGGUGAAAUGCGUAGAUAUUAGGAAGAACACCAGUGGCGAAGGCGGCCUGCUGGACGACAACUGACGGUGAGGCGCGAAAGCGUGGGGAGCAAACAGGAUUAGAUACCCCUGUAGUC